This 6543-nucleotide ribosomal RNA is filed under the name Triticum aestivum (bread wheat). RNAcentral describes it as "partial small subunit ribosomal RNA". Lineage: Eukaryota; Viridiplantae; Streptophyta; Magnoliopsida; Poales; Poaceae. The record is from RNAcentral.
AUGGCGACCCCGCACUCCUUCGACCACCUCGCUGAUGUGACGACGGGGGUCCCCUGCUGGCCCCAGAUCCCCUUCACUCUAGACAUGCCAGACUCCUCCUCCCCGCGCGAUGGCGCCGCAAGGCAGAUCGUCGACUCCCUCCUCGUCCGCUUCCUCUCGCUCACCCGCCGCCGCAUCGAAAUCGCCCAGGCCCAGGAUGGACAAUACCUACGGCCAUCUGACCCAAGCUACGAGCAAGUACUUGAUUCACUUGCCAUGGUUGCAAGGCACACACCUCUACCUCUUCUCGAAGCUCUUCUUCGGUGGAGAGAAAGUGAAUCACCAAAAGGUGCCCAUGAUGCCUCAACAUACCAAAAGAAGCUUGCUGUCGAGUGCAUAUUCAGCUCAGCCUGCAUUCGAUUUGCUGAGUAUUGCCCACAGGAGGGAAUCACAGAGAAACUUUGGAAUGGCUUGGAAAGUUUCGUAUUUGAUUGGCUAAUUAAUGCAGACAGGGUUGUUAGCCAAGUAGACUAUCCUUCGUUGGUUGAUCUGCGAGGUCUCCUUUUAGAUCAUGUUGCUCAACUUUUAGGAGCUUUAUCCCGUAUCAGGUUUAGUUCUGUGACCGAGAGGUUUUUUAUUGAGCUUAAUAAUCGCCGUGUUGAUACUCCUGUUGCUAGAAGUGAGACACUCAACAUUAUUAAUGGGAUGCGCUACCUCAAACUGGGGGUGAAGACGGAGGGUGGGCUGAAUGCUUCGGUAUCCUUCAUUGCAAAAGCAAAUCCUCUAAAUCGACCUCCAAACAAGAGAAAGAGUGAACUGCAACAUGCUUUGUGCAACAUGCUCUCAAGUAUACUGGCUCCACUUGCCGAGGGAGGCAAAAAUCAUUGGCCUCCACUAGGUGUGGAACCUGCAUUGUCACUUUGGUAUGAUGCUGUUACUCGAAUAAGAGGGCAGCUCAUGUAUUGGAUGGAUAAGCAGAGCAAGCAUAUUGCUGUUGGAUUUCCACUGGUCACUCUUUUUCUUUGCCUUGGUGAUUCCCAGACGUUCAACAUUAACUUCUCUCAGCAUUUGGAGAUCCUGUAUAAGUAUCUUAAGGAUAAGAAUCAUCGAUCAAUGGCACUAGAUUGUCUACACCGGCUGGUAAAAUUUUAUGUAAACGUUUAUGCAGAUUAUCAGCCCAGAAAUCAAGUUUGGGACUAUUUAGACAGUGUGACCUCUCAAUUGCUGACCGUGUUGAAGAAAGGAUUACUGACUCAAGAUGUCCAGCAUGAUAAACUUGUUGAGUUUUGUGUGACCUUGGCUGAGAGCAACCUGGAUUUUGCAAUGAAUCAUAUGAUACUUGAACUGUUGAAACCAGAUAGUCUUAGUGAAGCAAAGGUUGUUGGCCUUAGGGCUUUGCUUGAGAUUGUUGUUUCUCCAUCAAAUCAACAAAUUGGCCUGGAUGUUUUCCAAGUGUAUGGUAUUGGCCACUAUGUUCCAAAAGUCAAGUCAGCCAUCGAGUCAAUAUUAAGGUCUUGUAGCAAGGCUUAUAGCCUAGCCCUUCUUACAUCAUCGAAAUCUACAAUUGAUAACGUAACAAAGGAUAAAUCUCAGGGAUCACUCUUCAGAUCUGUGCUCAAAUGUAUACCAUACUUGAUAGAAGAGGUGGGGCGUAAUGAUAGAAUGACUGAGAUUAUACCUCAACAUGUAACAAGUAUUGACCCUGUUGUCCGUGAAGAAGCCGUGCUAGUUUUGAACAGGAUCGUACGAUUUCUACCUGAUCGUCGGUUUGCUGUGCUGAAAGGAAUGGCUACUUUUAUCCUGAAACUCCCCGAUGAGUUCCCUAUUUUGAUUCUCAAUUCACUGGGACGCCUAGUAGAGCUUAUGCGGUUGUGGAGAGCUUGCCUCUCUGAGGAACUUCUGGCAAAAGAUAUGCAAAGUUUUAGACGUUCUAGUCUUGGAGGCGAUACGCUACAGAAAUCAUCUCCUUUUCAUAGGUCCAAAGAUAUAUCUGAAUUCCGUGCCUCGGAAAUGGAUGCGGUUGGUCUUGUCUUUCUCAGCUCUGCUGAUGUUCAAAUACGGCUUACAGCUCUGGAGUUAUUGCGAUGUGUUCGAUCUCUAAAGAAUGAUCUGAGAGAUUACUCAGCAAAUGAAGGCGACACUAAACUGAGACUUGAACCAGAACCAAUAUUUAUCAUUGACAUCAUAGAGGAAAAUGGGGAAGACAUUGUUCAGAGCUGUUAUUGGGAUCCAGGGCGACCUUAUGAUCUGAGACGUGAGAUGGAUCCCAUCCCUUCUGAUGUGACACUUCAAUCCAUCUUGGAGAGCGCUGAUAAAAGUAGAUGGGCCCGCUACCUGAGUGAAAUUGUGAAAUAUGCGGCUGAACUUUGUCCUGCCUCUGUGCAUGUUGCAAGAUUAGAAGUUGUUAGGAGACUUGAUCAAAUCACUCCCUCCGAGCUAGGUGGAAAGUCUCAGCAAUUACAAGAUUCUGAGGCCAAGCUUGACCAGUGGUUGAUAUAUGCAACAUUUGCAUGCUCUUGCCCACCUGAUAACAAAGAAUUCGUCCCCAAAGCAGCGAGAGACAUUUUCCAUACAAUUUUCCCAUCGCUGCGCCAUGGUUCAGAAGGAUAUGCACUUGCUGCUACGGCUGCACUUGGGCACUCACAUCUAGAAGUAUGUGAAAUCAUGUUCGGUGAACUUGCAUUUUUCCUUGAGGAUGUUUCAUCAGAAACUGAAGGAAAAUCAAAAUGGAAGAAUCCUAGGUCCCGCCGUGAGGAUCUGCGCACUCAUGUUGCAAACAUACAUCGAAUGAUAGCUGAAAAGAUUUGGCCUGGGAUGCUUAUUCGGAAGCCUGUUCUCCGUUUACAUUUUCUAAAGUUUAUUGAAGAAACAUACCGCCAAAUCAACAUGUCAUCAUCUGAUGGCUUUCAGGAUGUGCAGCCUCUCCGAUAUGCAUUAGCAUCUGUCAUAAGAUAUCUAGCUCCUGAGUUUGUUGAUGCAAGGUCUGAGAGGUUUGACAACAGAAUACGUAAGAAACUUUUCGAUCUUCUUCUUAACUGGAGUGAUGAAUCUGGCAGCUCAUGGGGGCAGGAAGGCGGCACUGAUUAUCGCCGUGAACUUGAGCGAUAUAAAGCCACUCAACAUAAUAGGUCAAGGGAAUCACUCGACAAGCUUGCAUUUGACAGGGAAAUGGCUGAGCAGUUGGAAGCUAUCAAUUGGGCUUCCAUGCAUGCUAUUGCUUCUUUGCUUUAUGGUCCUUGUUUUGAUGAUAAUGCUAGAAAGAUGUCAGGUCGUGUAAUAUUGUGGAUCAAUAGCUUGUUCGGGGAACCAGCUCUGAGAGCACCUUUUGGGCAUUCACCAGUAGACCCUCGAACACCAUCAUACUCAAAGCAUACCGAUGGAGGGCGCUUUGGUGGAAAGGACAAACAAAAGGCUAGUCAGUUUCGGGUUCUCUUAGCAAAAACCGCGUUGAAGAAUAUUUUGCAGACAAAUUUGGAUUUGUUCCCUGCUUGCAUAGACCAGUGCUACUCUCCAGACGCUGCAAUAGCGGAUGGGUAUUUCAGUGUUCUGGCUGAAGUUUACAUGCGUCAAGAAAUUCCAAAAUGUGAGAUCCAGAGACUUUUGAGCUUGAUCCUCUACAAGGUGGUCGAUCAAACAAAACUGAUCCGUGACAGUGCCCUCCAGAUGCUGGAGACACUCUCUCUCCGUGAAUGGGCUGAAGAUGAUGCUGAUGGCAUUGGACACUAUCGGGCAUCUGUUGUUGGCAACCUUCCAGACUCCUACCAACAAUUCCAGUACAAGCUGUCCUCAAAGCUCGCCAAGGACCAUCCUGAACUCAGUGAGCAUCUAUGCGAGGAAAUUAUGCAGCGCCAGCUUGACGCAGCGGACAUUAUAGCACAGCAUCAGGUCCUCACAUGCAUGGCUCCUUGGAUAGAAAAUCUCAACUUUGUGAGGUUAAAGGAAUCUGGGUGGAGUGAGAGACUGCUGAAAAGUCUUUAUUACGUGACAUGGAAGCACGGUGAUCAGUUUCCUGAUGAGAUUGAGAAACUAUGGAGCACCGUUGCUAGCAAUACUCGCAACAUUAUCCCUGUGCUUAACUUCUUGAUUACCAGAGGGAUAGAGGACUGCGAUGCCAAUCCAUCAGCAGAGAUCACUGGUGCAUUUGCUACAUACUUCUCAGUUGCCAAGCGUGUCAGUCUAUACCUAGCUCGAAUUUGCCCACAGCAGACCAUUGAUCAUUUGGUCUGUGAGUUAUCUCAGAGAAUGCUUGAAGAGAAUGAGGAACCAAUCAGGCCUGGGAAGUUUGAUGCUUCUGCAAAUGUUGUGUUGGAGUUCUCUCAGGGACCUACUACCUCUCAGAUAUCAUCAGUAAUUGAUAGCCAGCCUCACAUGUCCCCCCUGCUUGUCCGUGGUUCUCUUGAUGGCGCAAUCAGGAAUGUCAGCGGAAACUUGAGCUGGCGGACAUCGACAGUCACUGGACGAAGUGUGUCUGGCCCAUUGAGCCCAUUGGCCCCGGAGGUGACCAACAUCCCAAACCCCACUACAGGCCGGUCAGGCCAGCUCCUUCCAGCGUUAAUGAACAUGUCAGGGCCGUUGAUGGGUGUCCGAAGCUCGGCUGGUCAUCUCAGGAGCCGUCAUGUUUCCAGGGAUAGUGGAGACUACUAUUUUGACACCCCAAAUUCAAACGAUGAAUUUCUGCAUCAAGGGGGCAGUGGAAUUCAUGGGAUUAAUGCUAAGGAGCUCCAAUCUGCAUUACAGGGGCACCAGCACUUGCUUUCACGUGCCGACAUUGCUUUGAUUCUCCUUGCUGAAAUUGCUUAUGAAAAUGACGAGGACUUCCGUGAAAAUUUGCCUCUGUUAUUCCAUGUCACGUGUGUUUCAAUGGAUAGCUCAGAAGACAUUGUGCUUGAGCAUUGCCAGGAUUUGCUCGUGAAUCUCCUCUACUCGCUUGCUGGCCGGCAUCUUGAACUGUAUGAGGUUGAGAGCAGUGAAAGGGAGAAUAAGCAGCAUGUGGUGAGCUUGAUAAAAUACAUCCAGUCUAAAAGAGGCAGCCUGAUGUGGGAGAACGAGGAUCCUACCCUUGUCCGGACUGAACUUCCUAGCACUUCACUCUUGUCAGCACUCGUACAAAGCAUGGUCAGUGCAAUUUUCUUCCAGGGGGAUCUUCGUGAGACUUGGGGUGCUGAAGCACUUAAGUGGGCCAUGGAGUGCACAUCCCGUCACCUGGCCUGCCGAUCGCACCAGAUAUAUCGUGCUUUACGUCCUAGUGUCAAGAGUGAUAGCUGCGUGUUGCUUCUGAGGUGUGUCCACAGAUGUUUGGGUAACCCUGUCCCUUCUGUUCUGGGGUUUGCAAUGGAGAAUUUGUUAACACUUCAAGUCAUGGUUGAGAACAUGGAGCCGGAGAAGGUGAUACUUUACCCGCAGCUCUUCUGGGGCUGCGUUGCGCUGAUGCAUACCGACUUUGUCCACAUCUACUGCCAAGUGCUUGAAUUGUUCUGUAGGGUGAUUGAUCGCUUGACCUUCCGUGACCGGACAACUGAGAAUGUGUUGCUCUCCAGCAUGCCCCGUGAUGAAUUCGACGUCAAUGGGUAUAUAAGCGACCUCCACAGGCUGGAGUCGAGGACUACCUCAGAGAGGCUGCUGUCUGUCACCGAGACCGGAAAGGUCCCUGAUUUUGAAGGCGUGCAGCCGCUGGUACUGAAAGGGCUCAUGUCUAGCGCCAGCCAUGGGUCUGCAAUCGAGGUGCUAUCCAGGAUCACGAUACCCACAUGCGAUUCUAUAUUUGGGAAUCCUGAGACAAGGCUGCUGAUGCACAUCACAGGUCUGCUCCCAUGGCUCGGGUUGCAGCUCACCAAGGACGUAUCUUCCCUAGGGUCAGCUUCGCCUCUACAAGAACAGAACCAGAAGGCCUACUAUGUGGCAUCCAAUAUCUCAGGAUGGUGCCGUGUGAAAUCUCUUCAUGUCCUAGCCGAGGUCUUCAGAGCAUACUCUUACGGGGAAAUCAUCUCACUGGAAGACCUCUUCGCGCGCGCCUCGCCUCCGAUCUGCGCCGAGUGGUUCCCGAAGCACUCGUCCCUGGCCUUUGGGCACCUCCUCAGGCUCCUGGAGAGGGGCCCUCUGGACUACCAGCGGGUGGUGCUCCUGAUGCUCAAGUCGCUGCUGCAGCAGACCCCCGUGGACCCGUCCCAGAUCCCCCAGGUGUACAACGUGGUGUCGCAGCUCGUUGAGAGCGCGCUGUGCGCCGAGGCGCUCAACGUGCUGGAGGCGCUGCUGCGGAGCUGCGGCGGCGAGAACGGUGGCGGCCAUGGGGGGAUGAUGACGGGUGAGAAGGUGCUGGAGAGGAUGCUGCUCCCGCAGUCGUCGUUCAAGGCCCGGAGCGGGCCGCUCCAGUACGCGGCCGGGUCGGGGUUCGGGUCCAUGAUGGCGGCCCAGGGCGUCGCCGCCCCCGUGGACACCGGGCUGGUCACGCGCGACGUGGCGCUGCAGAACACCCGGCUGCUGCUCGGGCGCGUCCUCGACACCUGCGCCCUCGGCCGCAAGCGGGACCACAAGCGCCUGGUGCCGUUCGUGGCCAACAUCGGGUAG